AUAUCCCUCUAGAGGAGCCUGUUCUGUAAUCGAUAAACCCCGAUAAACCUCACCAACCCUUGCUAAUACAGCCUAUAUACCGCCAUCUUCAGCAAACCCUAAAAAGGAAGCAUAGUAAGCAAAACCAUUAAACAUAAAAACGUUAGGUCAAGGUGUAGCCUAUGGGUUGGAAAGAAAUGGGCUACAUUUUCUAAAAUAGAACACAUACGGACCUUUUCGUGAAACGAGAGGAACAAGGAGGAUUUAGUAGUAAAUUAAGAAUAGAGAGCUUAAUUGAAUAAGGGCAUGAAAGAC
Molecule: ribosomal RNA, 294 nt
Filed under: Aethalops aequalis (Borneo fruit bat)
Lineage: Eukaryota; Metazoa; Chordata; Mammalia; Chiroptera; Pteropodidae
Description: partial 12S ribosomal RNA
Source: RNAcentral